This 284-nucleotide long non-coding RNA is filed under the name Medicago truncatula (barrel medic). RNAcentral's name for it is "long non-coding RNA (MTRU_LNC001101)". The record is from RNAcentral. Lineage: Eukaryota; Viridiplantae; Streptophyta; Magnoliopsida; Fabales; Fabaceae.
UCUUUCUUAAAGGAUAAAAUUGUAAAAACAAUAGUAAUUACAAACAUAUUUAAUACAAAUAUUCACUAUCUUAAUUCCCGUUAUUUUUUCAAAAAGGCCUUAUAAUUAGGGACGGAGGUAGUAUUUUCUAAUUGAAGGGUUCCACAAAAUAGCACGACAUCUAACAAGGGUGAAACAAAGGAGGCCGUCGCAAGAGCAAAUUUCGGAUCUAGGACCGAAAACUAGAGGACUAUUGAGUUGAGUCGUCUGUGGGACACCAGAGUUGAAUACAGAGAGAAUUGGAG